AGGAAAAGGUGAAGCUGCCAGCAUGAUCUACCUCUGGUCUGCUAGCUUGAAAAGACAAAAGCGUAAAGAUAAAGAGAUUGAUUCAUACCAAUUUCUUUUUUCUUGAUCCUCCAUUGCUAACCCUAGUUAGGUCAUGCUCUGACAGCCUCACUCCUUCCUA
Molecule: non-coding RNA, 160 nt
Organism: Cucumis melo (muskmelon)
Lineage: Eukaryota; Viridiplantae; Streptophyta; Magnoliopsida; Cucurbitales; Cucurbitaceae
Gene: MIR167A
Product: microRNA MIR167a
Exons: 1
Source: RefSeq, marked provisional